UGCGGGGUGGAGCAGCCCGGUAGCUCGUCAGGCUCAUAACCUGAAGGUCGCAGGUUCAAAUCCUGCCCCCGCUACCA
Molecule: transfer RNA, 77 nt
Filed under: bacterium
Lineage: Bacteria
Also listed under: 3 other names
Description: tRNA-Met
Rfam family: tRNA
About the family: Transfer RNA (tRNA) molecules are approximately 80 nucleotides in length.
Source: RNAcentral